This 465-nucleotide ribosomal RNA is filed under the name Vreelandella stevensii. Its description in RNAcentral is "partial 16S ribosomal RNA". It matches the Rfam family "Bacterial small subunit ribosomal RNA", at positions 338 to 795 of the family's 1533-position model. Lineage: Bacteria; Pseudomonadati; Pseudomonadota; Gammaproteobacteria; Oceanospirillales; Halomonadaceae. The record is from RNAcentral.
CCUACGGGAGGCCGCAGUGGGGAAUAUUGGACAAUGGGGGGAACCCUGAUCCAGCCAUGCCGCGUGUGUGAAGAAGGCCCUCGGGUUGUAAAGCACUUUCAGUGAGGAAGAACGCCUGGUGGUUAAUACCCAUCAGGAAAGACAUCACUCACAGAAGAAGCACCGGCUAACUCCGUGCCAGCAGCCGCGGUAAUACGGAGGGUGCGAGCGUUAAUCGGAAUUACUGGGCGUAAAGCGCGCGUAGGUGGCUUGAUAAGCCGGUUGUGAAAGCCCCGGGCUCAACCUGGGAACGGCAUCCGGAACUGUCAAGCUAGAGUGCAGGAGAGGAAGGUAGAAUUCCCGGUGUAGCGGUGAAAUGCGUAGAGAUCGGGAGGAAUACCAGUGGCGAAGGCGGCCUUCUGGACUGACACUGACACUGAGGUGCGAAAGCGUGGGUAGCAAACAGGAUUAGAUACCCGAGUAGUC